GACGAACCGUGCGAACGUUGUUCGGAUUCACUGGGCUUAAAGGGCGCGUAGGCGGGCCAUCAAGUCGGGGGUGAAAUCUUUCAGCUUAACUGGAAAAUAGCCUUCGAUACUGGUGGUCUGGAGGAAGGUAGGGGCAUGCGGAACUUCCGGUGGAGCGGUGAAAUGCGUAGAUAUCGGAAGGAACGCCGGUGGCGAAAGCGGCGUGCUGGACCUUUUCUGACGCUGAGGCGCGAAAGCCAGGGGAGCAAACGGG
This 253-nucleotide ribosomal RNA is filed under the name uncultured bacterium. RNAcentral's name for it is "partial 16S ribosomal RNA". It matches the Rfam family "Bacterial small subunit ribosomal RNA", at positions 524 to 776 of the family's 1533-position model. The record is from RNAcentral.